ACAGUCCCCUCUCCUGCUCCUGGUACAGGGUCACACACAGCCCCCUCUCCUGCUCCUGGUACAGGGUCACACACAGUCCCCUCUCCUGCUCCUGGUACAGGGUCACACACAGUCCCCUCUCCUGCUCCUGGUACAGGUCACACAGUCCCCUCCUCCUGCUCCUGGUACAGGGUCACACAGUCCCCUCUCCUGCUCCUGGUACAGGGUCACACAGUCCCCUCUCCUGCUCCUGGUACAGGGUCACACAGUCCCCUCUCCUGCUCCUGGUACAGGUCACACACAGUCCCCUCUCCUGCUCCUGGUACAGGUCACACAGUCCCCUCUCCUGCUCCUGGUACAGGUCACACACACUCCCCUCUCCUGCUCCUGGUACAGGUCACACAGUCCCCUCUCCUGCUGCUGGUACAGGUCACACACAGUCCCCUCUCCUGCUCCUGGUACAGGUCACACAGUCACCUCCUCCUGCUCCUGGUACAGGUCACACAGUCCCCUCUCCUGCUCCUGGUACCAGUCACACAGUCCCCUCUCCUGCUCCUGGUACCGGUCACACAGUCCCCUCUCCUGCUCCUGGUACAGGGUCACACAGUCCCCUCUCCUGCUCCUGGUACAGGUCACACAGUCCCCUCUCCUGCUCCCUGGCUGCUGAAUUUUAUACUGAACUUAAGGUCUCCUUUUUUGAAGUCUUCCAAAGAGCACUCCACAUCCACCCAUUUCCCAACAGGCUGGUGGCAAGACCUAAAAAGGACAUGAACUAGAAAAUAAAUCCCCUUGAGUCCACA
This 779-nucleotide long non-coding RNA is filed under the name Oryctolagus cuniculus (rabbit). RNAcentral describes it as "lncRNA (ENSOCUG00000031559.1)". The record is from RNAcentral. Lineage: Eukaryota; Metazoa; Chordata; Mammalia; Lagomorpha; Leporidae.